Marmota flaviventris (yellow-bellied marmot) is the source of this 302-nucleotide long non-coding RNA. RefSeq lists it as uncharacterized. The record is from RefSeq and is a predicted model, not a curated record. Lineage: Eukaryota; Metazoa; Chordata; Mammalia; Rodentia; Sciuridae.
UGGAGGAUGACUGCACGAAAAUCUGUCUCUGGUUGUAGAAAAACUACACUGCAGUGUCCUGCAGUGGGACAGGGAAGCCAUCUUCACCUAAGAGUCUGAAUCCAGUUAUUCAGCAAAAAGCAGCAUGAGAUCACCUUCUAACACCUCUCCAGCUCCUUUGGGGUAGGUGAAAAGGGUUUUCCGUGGUGGGGCAAGGUCUGAGACACUGAAACCUGAUGCAGUAACAGAACUUCCACUGACCCCACCAGCUGAAGAGGAGGAUGAAGAGGCUGCCAUUUCCUCUAGUAGAAUUUUCACUUCAC